This 31-nucleotide non-coding RNA is filed under the name Homo sapiens (human). The record is from RNAcentral. Lineage: Eukaryota; Metazoa; Chordata; Mammalia; Primates; Hominidae.
GACUGGUGUCAGAGUAGGAGGAAUCUUGGGA